RNAcentral lists this long non-coding RNA (1917 nucleotides) under Mus musculus (house mouse). RNAcentral's name for it is "lincRNA-EC59". Lineage: Eukaryota; Metazoa; Chordata; Mammalia; Rodentia; Muridae. The record is from RNAcentral.
AGGAAGGUCAUCAGAAGAAGUUCUUAGCUGUGCCUCUCAGCAAACAUCAGCAAAGUCGAGAGCCCCAUAAGCUGUUGCAUAGUUAGUUCCACAACACGUGACUCGGCACCUGCAUCUAUCUCAGCUGACAUCACUCUGUCAAUGAGCCUGUCCUCGGAAGCUGCAAGUAGCUAUAGCACAGUACCAGAAGUUUUUUUUGGCAUUUCUCUCUAUGGAGUUCCAACAGAUGGAGCUCAGCUGCGCAAUGUAAGGUGGGCCAAUACAUAAAUGUCCUUAGCAAAGAAUCUUUCAUCAUGUGUCCUUUCAUGUGCUUGCUUUAGUAAAACAUCCUUUCACCUGUGUCUGCUUCAAUGAAAUGGUCCUUCAUAAGUCUGCCUUAGUCUUUCACCUGUGUCCACUUCAGGAAAACACUCCCUUACAUGUUUGCCCCAGCAAAACACCAUCCAACACAACCGACUUUCCAAAAAAACCCUUACAUUUCCACUUCAGUGCUGAGUGAGGAUGUGGGCAGGACCUAGGGGGAGCAGCCACACUUUGGGCUGCUGAGGAUGGGGUGGGGGGCAGCUUCUCACCUAUGCUGAGUAGGAAGCAGGAGGCAUCUGGAAUUUGCUCUGGCUGGAGUGCAGAGGGUGUAAGAUGCUCAACAGAUGGCACACCCUGAGCUGCUGGUGGUGAGUAGGCUAGGCGAGAAGACGCAAACAUACUUCGAAGCCUGAGGAUCUGCCUGCCGGUAACAUGGUGGCGCCAUCUUGGGAUGAGUCACGUACAUUCCGACAUGGAGGGGGUGAACAGUCUGCUGGUGUCAUGGGAGAGGGAGGAGUGGUGAAAUUUUCAGCUGCCAAGCUGGUGUUUGAAAUGGAAAUGGCCCAGCUGUGCAGAUGAUGAACCGAAGGAUGCUCCUGGUAGUUUCUUUUUAACGGCAUGAAGGCAGGUCAAACAACAGCAGGGCAUUUUAGCUCUUUCACAUGAGCUGGAGCAUGAGGAAGAUCUUGGCAACUAGUCCGAACUCUGCCUGCUAGCGGGCGGAGGUCCUUUGCAGCCUGCUGGGCAGGGUGUGGCUAGACUUCGGAAGUUUGUUUCUUGUAUGGGAGCUUUGCUCUUCUUCAGGAUGAACCGAACUGAAUAAAAGCAGGAAGCGUGUAGGUGAUUUGACUUCUCAUUCAACAGACCUAGUAGUACCCAGGUAAUGGCAAGCAAGCAUACCCCUCCGGCCUUGAGGAUGGGGUGCCCUUAGUCACCUUCAAAGUACAGGGGUGUGGGCAGUGGACCUAUGCUGUCAGUGUGCAGUGCUAAAGUUUACUCCAUGUGUGUUCUCUGCACAAGUCCACAUACGUGUGGGUCUAUACGUGUUUAGUGUGCACACGUGCAAAUAUGAGUGCAUCUGUAUUAGUAUAUGUGUGUUGUGUGUAUGGCUGUUGACAGCAAUUCCUGCUUCAACUCACCACUCCAAGGAGGAACACAUGCCUGGGUUUCCUCUCCAUAUUGCUCAGGAGUUCAGGCCCAGCUAAAGACAGGCACACCUUGACCCUGACACUGGUAAGGAGCAGGAGGAAAUGGGUGAGUAGCAUCUACUACAGGAAUAGUCUCACCCAUGGUGGAAAGGAGGUGAGGCUGAGGUAGUUUCUUUAAGAGCCCAGGGAAAUUCAGAGGAUAAGAUUCUCUUAGGAACGCUUGGCUCAUCCAAGGAAGAGACUGGCCCUCAGGAGUUUGUGACUUGCACAGGGUGUUGUGGGAUCACUGGGCUCUGGAAUAAGCUGUCACUGAUGCUAGUGCCUGACCUAGCUCCAAUGGACAAGGAGCUCUGCUGACUGGCAGCACUUUCUACCCAAGGCCUGUGCCAUUUUGUGCAGAGAAUCCUGCAUGAGACCAAGGGUGCUGAGGGGACUUCUGCAUAUAGUGACCGGAGAAACUUCUGGC